GCAGUUAGCCUAGUGGUUAAGGCUAUGGACCGUCAAUCCAGAGACGGCGGGUUCGACUCCCGUUCUAUGCA
Non-coding RNA from Aedes albopictus (Asian tiger mosquito), 71 nucleotides. The record is from Rfam. Lineage: Eukaryota; Metazoa; Arthropoda; Insecta; Diptera; Culicidae.